UAAACACAACAGUGAAUUUCAAGGCCAGUUACUUAACCUCUUAGAGCCCGUUUUUCCAUCUAUAAAAUGGGGCUAUUAAUCCCUCAGGACAGAAUGAGGGUACAGUGUUUUUAAAUGAAGCCUGAUAGUCUUUGUAAGUGUGUGUGUGUACGCUUUACCAUAUGCAUUUCUCUCAGCUGCCUCCCUCUCCGCAUACACACACAUCCUAUUUAGAGUGCUGGGGAAGUGGAAGUGUAGCGUGGGCCCUGCUGUCUAGCGAUCUGGAGUCACACACAGCAGCCCAGACUACAAGACUGUAUAUGAUGAAGUGCCAAACUAGCUUUGGGGGAUAUUCAGGAAAGAGGGGUGACAUGUCUUUCCCAGGGUCCCUUCAGUUCAAUAAUGACAAGAGCCACUUGAAUCUUGUUCACCUUCUCUCAAGCCAGUGUUCAUCUGCCUGUUCCCUGACCCCCUGCCUCUCCAGAGCUCAGACACCCAGGUACCUGCAAGGGUCAGUUACCUAUGUCCCUGUGGCCUUCAUCAUUUAAGUCCUGCUCUUGGGCCCAUUGCAAUACUGGCAUAAAUGAUGGAGGGAGGAGCAGGCCAGGUCAUGGCUAGAGCUCCGGUUUGAUUCAAACCCUAGAGGGGUCUUAAACAGGCCCUGAGGCAGAGGCAUGGCCUGAGUUGCAGGGAAACCGCAGCACCAAGUGUUGCAUGGGAGGACCAUCAUGGUUGAGUCUGAGGAGUUGGGGAGUUGAUUCUGAGGGGGGCUUCCUAGAUCGCUGCAGGGUGAGGUGGUUGAGCCUAGGAGGGACAGAAUGUCUAAUUGCCUAUGAGGAGAGUUCACUGGAAGAUCUGGAGUAAGAAUGAUGUUCACCAUGAGCUGGAAGGGAAGGAAGGCAGUUAUCCGAGUGACCCAGUCCCUGAGGAGGUGAACCCCGUUACUAAAAGGUUUGGUUGAAUGGACAGGUACAAACGGUUGUGGCUUAUUCAGAAAAACAGCAUUUUCUGUGUGAAUUUCUUGCCAAGCUGUUACUUCAUCCUUCCAAGCCCAACUCCUUUCACCCACUCACAGUCAAGCUGAAGGACCAGGCAGCCGGAGGCUGUGAAGCUGGGAAUCCAGACCCAGUUCUAUGUUCAGAGCUGCCCCCAAGGCUUGGCCUCCACCUACCCUGGCCCUCAGCACCCUGGGCAGAGAGCCCAAGAGCAUAGCAGGAACGCAAGAAGUGAGGUCCAUAUUAGAAGACUGGUCAGAGGGCCCUCGGAAAGUUAAGCCCCCAGAGAACAGGUUUGCAAGUCCCCAGCAGUAGGCAAGUCAGAGGGGUCCUGGGGUUAGAGGGGAGGCAAGGUGGGCCAGAAGCCCAUGGAGAGAGCGCAGGGGUGGUGAGGCCACCACCAGGGGGCGAUACUGGUGCUGCUGCCCUUGAGGGUGGAGGACGCCAGAUGCCCGGAGGCCGUAUGAGCCUUGGCCUCAAACCUUUAUCGUGUAGGGUGGGGGGCGCGAAAGAAGAGAGCGGCGCCCUUCCCUGCACCCCACCCUGUCGGCCCCGCCUCCCUGGCCCCGCCUUCCAGCCCCCGCCCCACCCCCGGCUCCGCCUCCACCCCCCGCCCCGCCUCCGGCCGCAGCCCCUUCCUCCCGCAGCUGGUGCUGUGGGGCCGCGGAGCAGCGCGUCGCCGUCUCUAUGGCCGGGGAUCCAAGCGCAAAGAAAACGGACCUCAGAGAACCAGAACUAGUCCUGCUGUCGGGGCAGGGUGACCCCAUCAGUGACCUACGACCCCCUUAUGACCCCACAACUCCUUCCCACCAUGGAGUUUGUAUUUAAUGCAGAAAAGCAGUGUGUGAUCCAUCCCUCCCUCUGACCUCUAACCUGGGAUUCCAUGGCCACACAACCCUGUGAUUCCAUGUCCCCUCGAUUCCAGGACCCUCCCUGGCCCCAUGACCCCUGACCUUCCAAGUGACCUCCCUGGACCUUGACCCCUGUGACUAUUCUUGCCAUCAUACCCUGUGACUGUGGCCCUGGCUCCCCUUGGGGGUCUUACUGGUCUGGGCCUCCCCAGAAAAAUGUGGGGAAGGCUCUGGCCCCUCUUCCUGAGCUUCCUCACAGCAUCUGCAGUCCCUGGACCCUCACUGCGGAGACCAUCCAGAGAACUAGAUGCCAUCCCACGGAUGACCAUCCCCUAUGAAGAGCUCUCCAGGACCCGGCACUUCAAGGGCCAAGCCCAGAACUACUCAACGCUGCUGCUGGAGGAGUCUUCAGCAAGACUGCUGGUUGGAGCCCGAGGUGCCCUCUUCUCUCUCAAUGCCCGUGACAUAGGAGAUGGGGCUCACAAAGAGAUCCACUGGGAGGCCUCCCCAGAGAUGCAAAGCAAAUGCCAUCAAAAAGGGAAAAACAACCAGACGGAGUGCUUCAACCACGUGCGAUUCCUUCAGCGACUCAAUGCCACCCACUUCUAUGCAUGCGGGACUCACGCCUUCCAGCCUCUCUGUGCAGCCAUUGAUGCUGAGGCCUUCACCUUGCCAACAAGCUUUGAGGAGGGGAAGGAGAAGUGUCCUUAUGACCCAGCCCGUGGCUUCACAGGCCUCAUCAUCGAUGGAGGCCUCUACACAGCCACACGGUAUGAAUUCCGGAGCAUCCCUGACAUCCGCCGAAGCCGCCACCCGCACUCCUUGAGGACUGAGGAGGCUCCGAUGCACUGGCUCAAUGAUGCUGAGUUUGUGUUCUCCGUCCUGGUACGGGAGAGUGAGGCCAGUACGGUGGGCGAUGACGACAAGGUUUACUACUUCUUCACGGAGCGGGCCACUGACGAGGGCCCCAGCAGCUUCACUCAGAGCCGCAACAGCCACCGUGUGGCCCGUGUGGCCCGUGUGUGCAAGGGAGACCUAGGAGGAAAGAAGAUCUUGCAGAAGAAGUGGACCUCCUUCUUAAAGGCGCGUCUAGUCUGCCACAUUCCACAGUAUGAGAUGCUACGUGGUGUCUGCAGCCUGGACACGGACACCUCAGCACGCACACACUUCUAUGCGGCCUUCACGCUGACCACACAGUGGAAGACCCUAGAGGCCUCAGCCAUCUGCCGCUACGACCUGGCCGAGGUGCAGGCUGUCUUCGCAGGUCCCUACAUGGAAUACCAGGACGGUGCCCGGCGCUGGGGCCGCUAUGAGGGUGGGGUGCCGGAGCCCCGGCCCGGCUCAUGCAUCACAGAUUCAUUGCGCACUCGCGGCUACAACUCAUCCCAGGAUUUGCCAUCCCUCGUCUUGGACUUCGUGAAGUUGCACCCACUAAUGGCUCGGCCCGUGGUGCCCACACGAGGACGGCCCCUGCUGCUCAAGCGCAGUGUGCGCUAUACACACCUCACAGGGACGCCUGUCACCACGCCUGCCGGACCCACCUAUGACCUGCUCUUUCUGGGCACAGCUGAUGGCUGGAUCCACAAGGCCGUGGUGCUGGGUUCUGGGAUGCACAUUAUCGAAGAGACACAAGUGUUCAAGGAGCCCCAGUCUGUGGAAAAUCUGGUCAUCUCUCCAAUGCAGCACAGCCUUUACGUGGGGGCCCCUAGUGGUGUCAUCCAGCUACCACUGUCGAGCUGCUCCCGCUACCGCUCCUGCUAUGACUGCAUCCUGGCCCGGGACCCCUACUGUGGCUGGGACCCCAGCACCCAUUCCUGCAUCAUAACCAACAGGUCCCAGGGUAGCAGGACAGCACUGAUACAGGACAUAGAGAGAGGAAACCGAGGCUGUGAAGGCAACAAGGACACAGGGCCACCACCACCACUGAGAACCCGCUCUGUCCUCCGAGGUGACGAUGUUCUCCUGCCCUGUGACCAGCCAUCCAACCUGGCCCGGGCCUUGUGGCUGCUCAAUGGGAGCAUGGGCCUGAAUGACGGACAGCAUGGCUACCGCGUGGGCGUGGAUGGGCUGCUGGUGACAAACAUACAGCCUGAGCACAGUGGCAACUAUGGCUGCUAUGCUGAGGAGAAUGGCCUCCGCACCCUGCUGGCCUCCUACAGCCUCACAGUCCGGCCAGCCACUCCUGCCCCAGCUCCACAAGCCCCUGCCGUGCCCGGGGCACAGCUGGCACCUGACGUGAGGCUACUGUAUGUGCUAGCCAUCGCUGCGCUUGGCGGCCUCUGCCUCAUCCUGGCUUCCUCCCUCCUCUAUGUGGCCUGUCUUCAGGGAGGCAGACGAGGGCGUCGAAGGAAAUACUCUCUGGGUCGGGCUGGCCGGGCAGGGGGCUCUGCUGUGCAGCUGCAGACAGUUUCAGGCCAAUGUCCUGGAGAGGAAGACGAGGGUGAUGAUGGGGAGGGGGCUGGGGGCCUGGAAGGUGGCUGCCUCCAGAUCAUCCCUGGGGAGGGAGCCCCAGCCCCACCGCCUCCGCCGCCCCCACCGCCACCGGCCGAGCUGACCAACGGGCUGGUGGCCCUACCCAGCCGGCUGCGCAGGAUGAACGGCAACAGCUACGUGCUCCUGAGGCAGAGCAACAACGGAGUGCCAGCAGGGCCCUGCUCAUUUGCUGAGGAGCUCAGCCGCAUCCUGGAGAAGAGGAAACACACACAGCUUGUAGAGCACCUGGACGAGAGCUCUGUCUGAGCCCAGCCUCCUAGGACAAAUGCUCUUCCAAGCCAGCCUGUCUGCCCCAGGCUGGGCUGCUGCUUCCCCAACACAGCCACUCUACCUUCACCUCCCUCCCCCCAACUCCAGGCCCUUCUCCCAACUUUGUGAUGUCCCUGUAGGGCUGGCAGAGUCAGGCCCAGCCAAAGUCCCCUCCUCAGUCUCCACAGACCCAUCUGUGAGCAGCCCAGGCCCACCGGUGCUCCUCAGAGGCAGGGCUCUGCAGGUCCAGAUGACCUCAAGGUCACCACCCUCUGCGUGGCCCUAUGUGCUGGAUGGUCCCGAAACCAGACAAGACCUCUGCCAGCCACCAGAGCCACCUGAGCCCUGCAUGCAUUCACGUGUGCACACGGAUGAAUGUCUAUCAGCUGGGCUGCAGGGCCCCCACCCCCAUCUCCUGGAACACUGUGUUUCAUCUCUCCUGGACUUUGGGUACCCUUCCAACGGCCAUAUCCCAUCCUAUCUAGGUUUCUCCCCUAGUCCCAGCCCCAUGUGGUGACCUCUUUGGCAAAAGCUUGGGGACAGGCCAGUCUGGGGAGGUAAGACUGUCAUUCCCCUCUUCUUCCUUAACGUGCAGCCCUCUUUGGUCAACCUCCUCACCCCCUUGGUCACUCUCAAGAGUGACAGACAGAGCCCCAGGCAUGUCCCUUCACACACACGUGCUUACAUUUCCACUUGCAUUUCUGAGCCUCCCUUUGCUGCCUCGGACCUGUAUCUGUUGGGUUUGGUCCAUGGACAUUUCAGAGGGAGAGCCCUCUCCCAUUCAGCUGUCCUCUCAGACAUUUCCCUAGGACGGGUGACCAACACUGCAAUGAGCCAGCCUCCCUUUUGGGGACCAAGCAUUUGCUACCCCCAGACCAGAGCAGGGGGAGGAGAUCUGAUGUCUCACCUGGCACAUGAAGCCCGUUCUUGGAACUAUGCAAAGGGCAGAGGCUGGGAGUUUGGAUGCUUGGCUCCCAUCCCUGUCCUACCUCACCGGGGCACUUUCAGGGUCCAGGGGCCUCUGAAGUCUCCAGGCCCAUAUGGGACAAUCAAAUCCUGACUGAGCUCCCCCAUUCCCCUUGGGUGAGGAUGACUGUUAUUUUUGUAGCUGAGAACGUGGAAUCCCACGGGUUUUUACUGCCCUUCACCCAACUUCUCCCACCUCCACCCCACAAUGAAUGUAUUUAUUGUGAGAACGGCUACACUUCUUUAGGAAUGCCCCCACUCACCACCAAGGUGGGCAGAACAGGCAUGUGACAGAGUGGGGAGCCUGGGCUCAGCUCCUCCCCCUCCUGUUGGUUAAUAAAUACCCUCUUUCCCCACA
Molecule: RNA transcript, 5891 nt
Organism: Prionailurus viverrinus (fishing cat)
Lineage: Eukaryota; Metazoa; Chordata; Mammalia; Carnivora; Felidae
Gene: SEMA4G
Gene name: semaphorin 4G
Exons: 16
Source: RefSeq, a predicted model, not a curated record